This 107-nucleotide small nuclear RNA is filed under the name Aotus nancymaae (Ma's night monkey). Lineage: Eukaryota; Metazoa; Chordata; Mammalia; Primates; Aotidae. The record is from RNAcentral.
GUACUCACUUCACCAGCACAGAUACUAAAAUUGGAACAAUACAGAGAUGAUUAGCAUGGCCCCUGCACAAGGAUGACACACAAAUUCGUGAAGGUUUUCAUGUUUUU